This 118-nucleotide non-coding RNA is filed under the name Homo sapiens (human). Lineage: Eukaryota; Metazoa; Chordata; Mammalia; Primates; Hominidae. The record is from Rfam by way of RNAcentral.
GCCGGGUGUGGUGGCUCACACCUAUAAUCCCAGCAUUUUGGGAGGCCGAGGUAGGUGGAUCACCUCAGGUCAGGAGUUUUGAGACCAGCCUGACCAACAUGGUGAAACCCUAUCUCUA